GGAGUUGUGGCUCAGUGGUAGAGCGCUUGCCUUGCACAUGUGAAGCACUGGGUUCAAUCCUCAGCACCACCU
This 72-nucleotide transfer RNA is filed under the name Ictidomys tridecemlineatus (thirteen-lined ground squirrel). Its description in RNAcentral is "Spermophilus tridecemlineatus (thirteen-lined ground squirrel) tRNA". It matches the Rfam family "tRNA". Rfam says of the family: Transfer RNA (tRNA) molecules are approximately 80 nucleotides in length. Their secondary structure includes four short double-helical elements and three loops (D, anti-codon, and T loops). Further hydrogen bonds mediate the characteristic L-shaped molecular structure. tRNAs have two regions of fundamental functional importance: the anti-codon, which is responsible for specific mRNA codon recognition, and the 3' end, to which the tRNAs corresponding amino acid is attached (by aminoacyl-tRNA synthetases). tRNAs cope with the degeneracy of the genetic code in two manners: having more than one tRNA (with a specific anti-codon) for a particular amino acid; and 'wobble' base-pairing, i.e. permitting non-standard base-pairing at the 3rd anti-codon position. The record is from Rfam by way of RNAcentral. Lineage: Eukaryota; Metazoa; Chordata; Mammalia; Rodentia; Sciuridae.